Long non-coding RNA from Labrus mixtus (cuckoo wrasse), 650 nucleotides. RefSeq lists it as uncharacterized. The transcript has 2 exons. Lineage: Eukaryota; Metazoa; Chordata; Actinopteri; Labriformes; Labridae. The record is from RefSeq and is a predicted model, not a curated record.
GUUCCUUCAAAAUAAAACACAGACUUCUCCUAAAGUAAAUCUGCUCCAUCGUCUCUUCUGGGCCUCCGUACAUGUGUGGUGGUGACUGUGUCUGCAGAGACUCUGUCCUCUGACUGGAUUUUACUGUUCUGCUCUGUUCUGGUUGACUCGGGACAUUUCUAGGCGGAGCUGGUGUGUUUCCUCCAGCCAAUGACAGCGCAGCAGUGAGAAACACCGAGUGGAUAAAGCUGGUUCUAAAACGAGGGUGAACCUUGUGUUGUCUUUUACCCGUGGACGUGGAGUUGGUCUGCUUCCUGUUGGACAGGCAGGUGACAAACACCGGCGGUUAGCUUGUGAUAGCGUGUGUUAGCUUGCAGUGUAGCUACAAGCAGUAAACGUACACACUACAUCCUGCAGGGGGCGGAGCUUCUGGGGGCGAUGAGCCCAGGAGGAGGGGCCCAGUUUGAAUGUUGAGUUUACAAACAUUUCUGACUCCACCUUUAAGUUGAAGAUCACACAGCUGUAGUGCAGGAUCAUUCGAAUAGUUUGGAGAAAAAACUUCUUUCUGCAGUCAGUUCAACUCUUAAAAAAAUCUAUUCCAGGUUGACAAAGUUUAUAUUUAAAGUUUAAUAAACAAAACUACAAAAAGCAAACCUCCAUGAACAAAUCUU